RNAcentral lists this ribosomal RNA (460 nucleotides) under uncultured bacterium. Its description in RNAcentral is "partial 16S ribosomal RNA". It matches the Rfam family "Bacterial small subunit ribosomal RNA", at positions 338 to 795 of the family's 1533-position model. The record is from RNAcentral.
CCUACAGGAGGCAGCAGUGAGGAAUAUUGGUCAAUGGGCGCGAGCCUGAACCAGCCAAGUCGCGUGAGGGAAGACGGCCCUACGGGUUGUAAACCUCUUUUGCCGGGGAGCAACGGGCGCCACGUGUGGCGCCACUGAGAGUACCCGGAGAAAAAGCAUCGGCUAACUCCGUGCCAGCAGCCGCGCUAAGUCGGAGGAUGCGAGCGUUAUCCGGAUUUAGUGGGUGUAAGGGGGGCGUAGGCGGAACGUUAAGUCAGUGGUAAAAUUGAGGGGCUAAACCCCUUCCCGCCAUUGAAACUGGCGCUCUUGAGUGGAAGAGAAGUAUGCGGAAUGCGUGGUGUAGCGGUGAAAUGCAUAGAUAUCACGAAGAACCCCGAUUGCGAAGGCAGCAUGCCGGCUUCCGACUGACGCUGAAGCACGAAAGCGUGGGGAUCGAACAGGAUUAGAUACCCUGGUAGUC